This 497-nucleotide ribosomal RNA is filed under the name uncultured Actinomycetes bacterium. RNAcentral's name for it is "bacterial SSU rRNA". It matches the Rfam family "Bacterial small subunit ribosomal RNA", at positions 355 to 863 of the family's 1533-position model. The record is from RNAcentral. Lineage: Bacteria; Bacillati; Actinomycetota; Actinomycetes.
UGGGGAAUAUUGCACAAUGGGCGAAAGCCUGAUGCAGCGACGCCGCGUGAGGGAUGACGGCCUUCGGGUUGUAAACCUCUUUCAGCAGGAAGAAGCGAAAGUGACGGUACCUGCAGAAGAAGCGCCGGCUAACUACGUGCCAGCAGCCGCGGUAAUACGUAGGGCGCGAGCGUUGUCCGGAAUUAUUGGGCGUAAAGAGCUCGUAGGCGGCUUGUCACGUCGGUUGUGAAAGCCCGGGGCUUAACCCCGGGUCUGCAGUCGAUACGGGCAGGCUAGAGUUCGGUAGGGGAGAUCGGAAUUCCUGGUGUAGCGGUGAAAUGCGCAGAUAUCAGGAGGAACACCGGUGGCGAAGGCGGAUCUCUGGGCCGAUACUGACGCUGAGGAGCGAAAGCGUGGGGAGCGAACAGGAUUAGAUACCCUGGUAGUCCACGCCGUAAACGGUGGGCACUAGGUGUGGGCGACAUUCCACGUCGUCCGUGCCGCAGCUAACGCAUUAA